CUCCGGUCCUUCUGCUCCACGAGCCCCAAUCGUGUCGCCGCAGGAGCCACUGCCUCCGUAUGCCGUGGAGGCAAGGUCGGCCCUGAGCGGGUGCAUCCGGGGGAGAAUUGGUGCAACCUCACUGGGCCCCAAAAUCCAAGGAUCCCCCGGCAGAGUAGUUUAUUUGCCUGUUUUGCCGCGGCUGAGAACAAGAUCUUGAUUGAUAUUAUACAAAUAUAUCUCCUCGAUUCGCAUUCUCUCCAUAGAAUCGAGAUACCAAAGAGGAUUUGACUGAGUAGAAAUCAUCUUCUACUUGACUGAAGUACCUGACUGAACCAAAAGGGGAUUUGCUUCCUACUGUGGCGACAUCCAGUCCCGGGACCAGGUGUUCUUGUUUCAACUUAUGCCAUAUUUUUUUGUAAUCUUUGUGUGCUAAGAUGUCAACUAAAAAGUAUUUUUUUACAGGAAUUAUGCAAACGAGCAGAUGAGUUAUAGAAUCCCAAAAGGAGCAAAUGUAGCACUUGACAAAAGAAAAUUACUAUUUCCUCCAAUUCAUAUUACUUGCCGUUAGUAUGGAUGUAUCUACAACUAAAAUAUCUCUAGAUAUAUCUACAUAGAAAUAAUUAAUAUGGAUUGAAGGGAGUAGUACAAAUACUAUUUCUAAAAUCAUAUCUUGAAACCUCUAUCUAUUGUACAAGUACAACCAAAUAAGGGAGGCCUAUAU
This is a long non-coding RNA of Lolium rigidum, 703 nucleotides long. RefSeq lists it as uncharacterized. NCBI's taxonomy places the organism in Eukaryota, Viridiplantae, Streptophyta, Magnoliopsida, Poales, Poaceae. The transcript is spliced from 3 exons. The record is from RefSeq and is a predicted model, not a curated record.